CCCAUUAAGGUGCAUGAUAAUGAGUCCAAUGAUCUAAAUAAGCAUUGAGGUGCCAUAUGCUUGGUGUCUAUUGGGUAUUAAAAUUAUCAUUCAUCAUAUGACCAUCUUGUUGUGCCCCUCAGAUCAAUGCUCAGAUUGGUCGAGCCACACUCAGACCUGGACAAUCGUUUGUUGGAUGCGCUUGAUGUAGUCAUGUUAAUGAUUGGACCUAACCAAAAUUUUUAGUGGAGAUGCCACAUGCCUGCUAAAGAGAGGCUUGGGACAAAACAUAAUUGCUAGAAGUUAUUUAGAAAAAUAAUUAGUUAUGAACCUACCCAUGGAUGCACUA
Molecule: long non-coding RNA, 328 nt
Filed under: Elaeis guineensis (African oil palm)
Lineage: Eukaryota; Viridiplantae; Streptophyta; Magnoliopsida; Arecales; Arecaceae
Description: long non-coding RNA (EGUI_LNC020144)
Source: RNAcentral